UCUGGCAGGGGCGUGUCCCCUCCCGGAAAUGGCUUCACUCCCCGCCCCCCGGACAGCGCGCGGCGGCGUGCGGAGUUCGGCAUGAGCGUCCUUGCGAGGGGCGGCGUGGGGCCGCUGUGUGCGGCGGCUCGCGCGGUCAUUCCCUGUCUUUGGAGAGGGAAAUACUUCAGCUCCGGGAGAGAGCCGGCAGAAAACCAGGUGACACCAAUGCUGCGGCAUCUUAUAUACAAAAUCAAAGCAACUGGCCCCAUCACUGUGGCUGAGUACAUGAAGGAGGUCUUGACCAACCCUGCCAAGGGAUAUUAUGUGUACCGUGACAUGCUAGGAGAAAAAGGAGAUUUCAUUACUUCACCGGAAAUAAGUCAGAUCUUUGGGGAGCUGCUAGGUAUAUGGUUCAUUAGUGAAUGGAUGGCCGCCGGAAAAAACGCAGCUUUCCAGCUGGUGGAACUGGGCCCAGGCAGGGGUACCCUUGCGGGAGAUAUUUUGAGGGUCUUCAGUCAGCUUGGAUCUGUGCUGAAAAACUGUGACAUUUCAAUACAUCUGGUAGAGGUGAGCGAAAAAUUGAGUGAGAUUCAAGCAUUAACACUGACUGAAGAGAAGGUCCCGGUAGAGCGAAAUGCUGGAUCCCCCGUAUAUAUGAAAGGUGUUACUAAAUCUGGGAUUCCAAUCUCAUGGUACCGAGAUCUGCACGAUGUUCCAAAAGGGUACAGCUUUUAUCUUGCGCAUGAAUUUUUUGACGUUCUUCCUGUGCAUAAGUUUCAGAAAACACCACAAGGAUGGCGAGAAGUAGUCAUUGAUAUCGAUCCGCAAGUUUCUGAUAAGCUGCGGUUUGUUCUGGCGCCUUGUGUCACCCCAGCAGAAGUCUUCAUCCAACGUGAUGAGAUGCGGGACCAUGUGGAAGUGUGUCCUGAGGCCGGCGUUAUCGUUCAGGAGCUUUCUCAGCGCAUUGCAAUAGCUGGAGGUGCCGCACUGAUCGCGGAUUAUGGUCAUGAUGGAACAAAGACAGAUACCUUCCGAGGGUUUUGUGGCCACAAGCUUCAUGACGUCCUGACUGCCCCGGGAACAGCAGACCUCACAGCCGACGUGGACUUCAGUUAUCUGCGCAGAAUGGCAGAGGGACAAGUGGCUUCUCUAGGGCCAAUAAAACAACAGACGUUUUUAAAAAAUAUGGGCAUCGAUGUCCGGCUGAAGGUUCUUUUAGCCAAAUCAGAUGAGCCGGCCAGACAGCAGUUACUUCAAGGGUAUGAUAUGUUAAUGAACCCUAAGAAGAUGGGAGAAAGAUUUAACUUUUUUGCCUUGCUGCCUCAUCAGAGACUUCAUAGUAGAAGCCAUCCGAUGAAUGCGAGUCCAUCAAAACCCGCUGUGUCACCGGUAGCUGGGUUUGGCGAACUUGCCUGGCAGUGAGCUCAGUGAGGACAUUUUACCCCUAAGUCUGCAGAAAGCAAAAUAAAGGGAACACCUUUCACAUAUCACAGGUCAUGGUCCCCGGGGGUCGUGGGAUUUCCAGUCCCACGUCAGGCUCCAUAUUCAGUGUGGAGUUUGCUUGGGAUUCUCCCUCUCCCUCCUUCAAAAUAAGUAAGUAAAAUCUUAAAUCGAGUCCCAGCAAAACUAGCAAACCUAACAUGUACCUGAAAUAUGUUAAGAGUAAAUGUAGACUACAUAGCGGGAAUAAUUUUCUGAUUUGAGCUAAUUCUCCCUCAUUUUCAGAUAAAUGUCAAGUUUUCAUUCUGUAAGUUCUCAUUCUUUGGUUCACAGAACGUUUAUAUUACUACCAGAUGUAUACUUUCUGAAGAAUUGUUAUAUUGGCAAAACAAAUUUACAGUGAGAUUAAAGGAAAAGAGUAUUAGCCAUACGUUUUGAACUUACAGCUUAACCACACAUUGGGAGUUCACUGGCAGUGAUCAGCUCUCGGCUUUCUAUUGCUUGUUUGGUUUAACUCAGAACAGGACUAGCAUUCUGUAUCUCACUCUGAAGUAUGAAGGUAAACGGUUUAUUUUUCAUAUGCUGCCCCGCCUUGGGCCAUUUGUAGUCACCCUUAAUUUUUUCCAUAUUUUCUUUUAUCAAAGACUUGGCUGGAGAAUUUUUGGGAGCUGAAAAUGCCCAACAUUGGCCCCUCUCAAUUAUUUAAAAGUUUUUAUAAUUAAUGGGAGGAAUUAGGCAAUGCCUUGUAUCUUAAAACCUAGAAGGUUUACUUUGAAUGGCCUUUGGCUUAUUUAAGUCUUGUAGCAGUUACAAUAGUUGAAUAUUUGAUUAUAGCUCCUGAAAAAUUUAUAGUUGUUAUAAUUCUAAACUUUCAUGCCAAGAAAUAAGACCUCCAGAUAAUUACCUCAAAUUUCAUAUAAAAUUGAAAUGAUGAGUUUUUUAUUUUAGGUAGUUAAAAAAAAAAUCAGUGUUUUAAAUAUAGCAUUAGUUCCAUUUACAAAUACUAUUAUUUCCAAAAUAAUUCUUUUACCAAGGUCUGGGAAAAUAACACAACCAAAUAAAAUUUUCUUUGGAUACCUCUACUAGAGAUAGGCUCAGGUUUUCACAUAGAAAAGUAUGGUGAUAUGGAAAUACAUUUUAUUAUCAAGCUUCUUCGAGGAUAUUUACAAAAAGUGGGAUGUAACAAAAAAUAUAAAAAUGUACUGAACAGUGUCAUUAUAGACUACUUUGUACAUUAUCAAAUGCCUCUAACAAUUAUUUUCUUAUACAAAAACUUCAAGACCAAAAAAAAAAGGGUUAUGCAGGUUAUACAGGAUCUGGAGUAACUGACUCAACUCCAGAUUAUCUGACAGUGCCUUUACAAAUUUUUUUAGAAAACUUCUUAGGCAUUCAACAACACAAACAAAAAGAGUGCAAUUAAUUUCAUGGCUUGUAAAGUUUGAUUAUAGAAGUAUAGCAAACAUCAUUCCAGUUAAUUUUCACCUUAUGCAGUAAAACCACAAUAGGGUGCCUAGGGACUGAGAAUUACUCCAUUUUAGCAUGUUGGUAUAAACAGACUUACUUUGGACAGAUUUGGGGAAGUCAUCCUUUACCACAGAGAAAAUACAUUUCUAAAAGGUUUUGCAAAAUUUGAUUAAAUGCUUUAAACUCCUACAGGAGAAUGAAAUACUGAGAGACAUUGUGGAGGGUUUCCUGGAGGUGUGUAUGGGUAAGCAGUACAGCACAGUGCCGGGGCGGGGGCGUCAGAGGGACUGAGAUGGAGUUCAUAAUGUGCUCACUUUGUGGCUGUUGUGAGGGUAAGUAAAACUGUGUACAGAGCUCAGAAGAGGAGACUGCAUGUUGGCUACUCUCUCUGAAGUUUUAGUCCCAGAUAAUGGAGUAGCUUCAGGACUCUCUCAAGGCCCUCUCUGGCUUCGACUGUAUCCAGGGACAUUCUUUUCUUUGGCUAGCUCAGAUUCAGGGGGGCAAAGACAGUUAACACUGUCACAGUUUUUAGUUUAUGGAGUGUAAGUAUCCUCAUACCUAGCCUGUCUUCACAACAGCACUGUGAGGGAGGGAGAGGCAAGAACUAACUACGGUCUUCAUUGUAUAGACUGAGGGUCCUGAGGCUCAGACAGAUUGGAGCCAAGACUUAAGACGGGAUUUUCUGUCUCCAAAUCUUUUGCUCUUUUUGGGGGGGGAAAGUUUACAGUGAUUACUGUGGAAUGAAGAAACAAAAAGCCACUAUUUUUUUAAAAAUAAGUCGAUGGUCCCAGAUCUUAAACUUUUUUGGGGGAGAAAGCUAUUAGUAACUUUUUAAAAGCUAUGAAAAAGUCUAACCUCUUAAACAUUAUAUCUGAGUAGAAAAACACUUCUCUAGCGGGCUGCUGGUGCCGAAGUGUUAAAAAAAAAUAUAUAUGUAAGGAUAGGGCUACAGUAUCAGCAGAGCAAAUGAAAGGAUAAAUUGUUUCAUGCUCCACCCCACCCACUCCCCCAAACUGCUUAAAAUAAUUUAAAAACAUUCCUGAUAUCUGUAAAGCCUUCCAAUAAACUAAGGGAAGAAAAAAAGGAUACACUGUUCUUCUCCGUAGCAUUAACUGAUCCUGCACUGGCCUUACUUUUAAUAAUUUUCUUCCUCAAAUUAUCCAACUCUGUGUAAAGAUAAACUGUGUAAUCCCAGUUCAGAUCUAUACUCCCUGAACGAUGGAAGGCAGCUGUGGCACAACAGUGGCGUCAGUGGGAACGGGAGUACACAGCAGAGGAGCUGAGCGAGGAGCAGACAGACCAGCAGGCCCUCCUCCCGGUCCUGUGACACCAGUUGUCCCAAAUUAUCUCAGAGGCCGUUCCAACAUACAAAAGGGGACUAACUUAAUCUUUAUGUUGUAGAGAGCGUAUUAAGAAUUCAGCUCCAAAGGUUAGGGACCUAACCUAACCUAACCUUUUUUUAGGUCACUGACCUAAAAAAAAAAAAAAAAAAA
Molecule: RNA transcript, 4379 nt
Organism: Ailuropoda melanoleuca (giant panda)
Lineage: Eukaryota; Metazoa; Chordata; Mammalia; Carnivora; Ursidae
Gene: NDUFAF7
Gene name: NADH:ubiquinone oxidoreductase complex assembly factor 7
Exons: 11
Source: RefSeq, a predicted model, not a curated record